Molecule: RNA transcript, 590 nt
Organism: Odobenus rosmarus divergens (Pacific walrus)
Lineage: Eukaryota; Metazoa; Chordata; Mammalia; Carnivora; Odobenidae
Exons: 2
Source: RefSeq, a predicted model, not a curated record
CCUCAAGCAUACAGAGCCCACCUGGAGAAGUGCAGGCAUGCUCAGACCCUGCUGGCACAUCCUGAGAGGUGAAAUGGGCCCAAGCUCUUGCCCGAUGGACGGCUCUCCAAGCAUGUCCUACCGGGACCCUUCUAACCAGUGAAUUGUUCACCUCCCAGUGAUUCUUCCCGACUAAGGCCAAGAGAUUUCUGGAGCCUCUUGUCAUGGUCACUAUGUGGAGCUGCCAAGGUUCCCUGAUGGUGACCAGUGGCAAUGGCGGAGUGUGGAGGUGAAGUUACAGAUUUUCCUUAACAGAGCUGUGGAGUGUGACAAUGGUGUUUGUGUCCAAACUAUCAAACGCCAUUAUCACACUAAAUAGCUACUGUUAGGCAAUCCUUCUGCUCAAUAAAUGCCUUGGCAUCUGUGUGGUUUGGGCAAGAAUGUUCCUCUUACAGCAGUGUUCCCGGUCCUGUGUAAUUACUGAAUAAAUGCAGGCCCGUUGGUGCUCAUAACCAACAUGUCAUCUGAACUUGGCCUCUCACACACUGUUGUUAAAUACUUUAGCUGGUGAUGAAUUUUCUUGUUUUCCUGAGUCAAUAAAAAAUCUGGCC